AGCUCGGUGUGUCCCCCUAUGAUCUGCCAAUGGAUUCUCAGCUUCCUGACGGUACGGACACAACAGACAUCAGCAAAUGUAAAGAAGACCGCCAAUGGAGGUCUAAAGCACUGAAUCUUGAAUCACUUCGGACGGUUUGCCAGAAAUCACCAAAAUCGCACAAUACAGUUACUGUAAUAGUACUGGUAGCUUAGGACUGUUCCACAACAUCUGCACCUAUAUGAAUCUUUUAUCAGCACUUAAUUCAGUACGACUGUGAUUAUUAUACUGUUUUUCUUUGUCACUGUAAUGUUAUGUCUGCAAAGGUUUAAACGUUUGAUAAAUAUAAAAAGUCAAAUAAGA
Hippocampus zosterae (dwarf seahorse) is the source of this 342-nucleotide long non-coding RNA. RefSeq lists it as uncharacterized. Lineage: Eukaryota; Metazoa; Chordata; Actinopteri; Syngnathiformes; Syngnathidae. The record is from RefSeq and is a predicted model, not a curated record. The transcript is spliced from 2 exons.